GGUUACUCUCUGCCCGGGAACCUCACGCUGUCUUCCUUCUGUUUCCAGGUGGAGGCCGUCAUCCACCCCCGAUUUCUGGAAGAAUUGCUUUCCCCAGAUCCACACAUGGAUUUCUUGGCCCUAAGCCAGGAACUGGAGCAGGAGGAAGGACUCACCCUUGCCCAGCCUGCAGGAGAGG
This is a long non-coding RNA of Cebus imitator (Panamanian white-faced capuchin), 178 nucleotides long. RefSeq lists it as uncharacterized. The transcript has 3 exons. The record is from RefSeq and is a predicted model, not a curated record. NCBI's taxonomy places the organism in Eukaryota, Metazoa, Chordata, Mammalia, Primates, Cebidae.